UUGCAUCAUCAAGCGCCUAAGGAGUGCUUAGAGGCAUGCAUCAUUCUAAGGAUUGUUAGCUGUAUGGAAAUGCAUAUCAUGUCUUGGUUGUUGAUUGGUAAAUGUAGGUUGUGGUUGAGAUCCUGUUGUAUCGUUGGUACGCCGUGCAAAUACAAAGGAGACUCCGUCCGAGUGGACAGAGAAACUUUGUAUUUGUGGUGGGUCUGUACAUCACGUGGGCCAGAUUGAAUUAAAAAAAAAUGGCACGAUUUUUGCAACUCUGGUUUCUAAAU
Molecule: long non-coding RNA, 272 nt
Filed under: Ananas comosus (pineapple)
Lineage: Eukaryota; Viridiplantae; Streptophyta; Magnoliopsida; Poales; Bromeliaceae
Description: long non-coding RNA (ACOM_LNC042249)
Source: RNAcentral